Molecule: transfer RNA, 76 nt
Filed under: Bacteroidota bacterium
Lineage: Bacteria; Pseudomonadati; Bacteroidota
Also listed under: 5 other names
Description: Bacteroidetes bacterium tRNA-His
Rfam family: tRNA
About the family: Transfer RNA (tRNA) molecules are approximately 80 nucleotides in length. Their secondary structure includes four short double-helical elements and three loops (D, anti-codon, and T loops). Further hydrogen bonds mediate the characteristic L-shaped molecular structure. tRNAs have two regions of fundamental functional importance: the anti-codon, which is responsible for specific mRNA codon recognition, and the 3' end, to which the tRNAs corresponding amino acid is attached (by aminoacyl-tRNA synthetases). tRNAs cope with the degeneracy of the genetic code in two manners: having more than one tRNA (with a specific anti-codon) for a particular amino acid; and 'wobble' base-pairing, i.e. permitting non-standard base-pairing at the 3rd anti-codon position.
Source: RNAcentral
GGUGGUUGUAGUUCAGUUGGUUAGAACGCCUGAUUGUGGUUCAGGAGGUCGCCGGUUCAAGUCCGGUCUUCCACCC